RNAcentral lists this ribosomal RNA (475 nucleotides) under Aggregatibacter sp. oral taxon G24. RNAcentral describes it as "bacterial SSU rRNA". It matches the Rfam family "Bacterial small subunit ribosomal RNA", at positions 30 to 494 of the family's 1533-position model. Lineage: Bacteria; Pseudomonadati; Pseudomonadota; Gammaproteobacteria; Pasteurellales; Pasteurellaceae. The record is from RNAcentral.
AUUGAACGCUGGCGGCAGGCUUAACACAUGCAAGUCGAACGGUAACAGGAGAAAGCUUGCUUUCUUGCUGACGAGUGGCGGACGGGUGAGUAAUGCUUGGGAAUCUGGCUUAUGGAGGGGGAUAACGACGGGAAACUGUCGCUAAUACCGCGUAGUGUCGAGAGAUGAAAGUGCGGGACCUUCGGGCCGCAUGCCAUAGGAUGAGCCCAAGUGGGAUUAGGUAGUUGGUGGGGUAAAGGCCUACCAAGCCGACGAUCUCUAGCUGGUCUGAGAGGAUGACCAGCCACACCGGGACUGAGACACGGCCCGGACUCCUACGGGAGGCAGCAGUGGGGAAUAUUGCGCAAUGGGGGCAACCCUGACGCAGCCAUGCCGCGUGAAUGAAGAAGGCCUUCGGGUUGUAAAGUUCUUUCGGUAUUGAGGAAGGUUGUUGUGUUAAUAGCACGACAAAUUAACUUAAAUACAGAAGAGCACC